AGAGUUUGAUCAUGGCUCAGAUUGAACGCUGGCGGCAGGCCUAACACAUGCAAGUCGAACGGUAACAGGAAACAGCUUGCUGUUUCGCUGACGAGUGGCGGACGGGUGAGUAAUGUCUGGGAAACUGCCUGAUGGGGGGGGAUAACUACUGGAAACGGUAGCUAAUACCGCAUAACGUCGCAAGACCAAAGAGGGGGACCUUCGGGCCUCUUGCCAUCGGAUGUGCCCAGAUGGGAUUAGCUUGUUGGUGGGGUAACGGCUCACCAAGGCGACGAUCCCUAGCUGGUCUGAGAGGAUGACCAGCCACACUGGAACUGAGACACGGUCCAGACUCCUACGGGAGGCAGCAGUGGGGAAUAUUGCACAAUGGGCGCAAGCCUGAUGCAGCCAUGCCGCGUGUAUGAAGAAGGCCUUCGGGUUGUAAAGUACUUUCAGCGGGGAGGAAGGGAGUAAAGUUAAUACCUUUGCUCAUUGACGUUACCCGCAGAAGAAGCACCGGCUAACUCCGUGCCAGCAGCCGCGGUAAUACGGAGGGUGCAAGCGUUAAUCGGAAUUACUGGGCGUAAAGCGCACGCAGGCGGUUUGUUAAGUCAGAUGUGAAAUCCCCGGGCUCAACCUGGGAACUGCAUCUGAUACUGGCAAGCUUGAGUCUCGUAGAGGGGGGUAGAAUUCCAGGUGUAGCGGUGAAAUGCGUAGAGAUCUGGAGGAAUACCGGUGGCGAAGGCGGCCCCCUGGACGAAGACUGACGCUCAGGUGCGAAAGCGUGGGGAGCAAACAGGAUUAGAUACCCUGGUAGUCCACGCCGUAAACGAUGUCGACUUGGAGGUUGUGCCCUUGAGGCGUGGCUUCCGGAGCUAACGCGUUAAGUCGACCGCCUGGGGAGUACGGCCGCAAGGUUAAAACUCAAAUGAAUUGACGGGGGCCCGCACAAGCGGUGGAGCAUGUGGUUUAAUUCGAUGCAACGCGAAGAACCUUACCUGGUCUUGACAUCCACGGAAGUUUUCAGAGAUGAGAUGGUGCCUUCGGGAGCUGUGAGACAGGUGCUGCAUGGCUGUCGUCAGCUCGUGUUGUGAAAUGUUGGGUUAAGUCCCGCAACGAGCGCAACCCUUAUCCUUUGUUGCCAGCGGUCCGGCCGGGAACUCAAAGGAGACUGCCAGUGAUAAACUGGAGGAAGGUGGGGAUGACGUCAAGUCAUCAUGGCCCUUACGACCAGGGCUACACACGUGCUACAAUGGCGCAUACAAAGAGAAGCGACCUCGCGAGAGCAAGCGGACCUCAUAAAGUGCGUCGUAGUCCGGAUUGGAGUCUGCAACUCGACUCCAUGAAGUCGGAAUCGCUAGUAAUCGUGGAUCAGAAUGCCACGGUGAAUACGUUCCCGGGCCUUGUACACACCGCCCGUCACACCAUGGGAGUGGGUUGCAAAAGAAGUAGGUAGCUUAACCUUCGGGAGGGCGCUUACCACUUUGUGAUUCAUGACUGGGGUGAAGUCGUAACAAGGUAACCGUAGGGGAACCUGCGGUUGGAUCACCU
RNAcentral lists this ribosomal RNA (1530 nucleotides) under Escherichia coli O104:H4 str. 11-4632 C1. RNAcentral's name for it is "bacterial SSU rRNA". It matches the Rfam family "Bacterial small subunit ribosomal RNA". The record is from RNAcentral. Lineage: Bacteria; Pseudomonadati; Pseudomonadota; Gammaproteobacteria; Enterobacterales; Enterobacteriaceae.